UACGGAGGGGGCAAGCGUUGUUCGGAAUUACUGGGCGUAAAGGGCGCGCAGGCGGCUGCUCAAGUCAGACGUGAAAUCCCUCGGCUCAACCGGGGAACUGCGUCUGAGACUGGAAGGCUUGAAUUCGGGAGAGGGAUGUGGAAUUCCAGGUGUAGCGGUGAAAUGCGUAGAUAUCUGGAGGAACACCGGUGGCGAAGGCGGCAUCCUGGACCGAUAUUGACGCUGAUGCGCGAAAGCCAGGGGAGCAAACGGG
This 253-nucleotide ribosomal RNA is filed under the name uncultured bacterium. Its description in RNAcentral is "partial 16S ribosomal RNA". It matches the Rfam family "Bacterial small subunit ribosomal RNA", at positions 524 to 776 of the family's 1533-position model. The record is from RNAcentral.